Long non-coding RNA from Melanotaenia boesemani (Boeseman's rainbowfish), 10718 nucleotides. RefSeq lists it as uncharacterized. NCBI's taxonomy places the organism in Eukaryota, Metazoa, Chordata, Actinopteri, Atheriniformes, Melanotaeniidae. The transcript has 3 exons. The record is from RefSeq and is a predicted model, not a curated record.
CUGGAGGAGCUCAAGCUCUCGCUCAACUUUAUGUCUGAGGAAUUCACCAAAAUAGUGAAACAACAAUCUGUACUUAUUGGCGUGAAUUAAAAGCAAAAAUUAUAAAGAAAGACAAGACAAUCAAGUAUUUAGAAAGACGUGUCGAAGACUUAGAAGAAGAUACCAGAAUCAAUGAUGUCGUGAGUGGGCUGAACACCAGGAACCUUUCCUCAUGUGACAGCUGAAGCUGGCAGGGUGGCGACGAUAAGGCUCUAGGAGAAGCAAACAUCCCCGAGCAGCAGAUAUCAUAUAUUAAGCUUUUUAAUAAUAAUAAAAAAAAAACAUUGUUAUUGACUCAAAAUCUAUUUCAGCUUGCAGGGCCGGACUGGUAUGACAUUGGAUCAACUGAUUGGUCUGUAGAAACUGGCACCAAUCAAAUGAUUUGUGUUCGUCAGUUUUCACCUUCACCAAUUGGCAAUUGAUUAAAAAUAUCAGUCAUCAAGUUUUAUUUUUGAAACAGGAGAACUAAUCACCACAAGAGUGCGUGCAGGCGGAACAGAGAGACAGAGGGACGUGGUGCUGGCUACUGAUGGACUCGAAAAGGGGAGCAGAAAGAGAACUUAUUAAAAAAAAAAAAAAAAAAAAACAAGGCUCUUGAAGAAAAGGAAAUGCAGGAAGAUGUCAGAUAUUUUCAAAUCCCCCACCAGCAGUGGUGUCCAGCCACCGCAACAUCACACAACAAUUGGCAUUGUCGGGCAGGAUUUUGCGAGUGACCAGGGGGACCCAACGACGGUGUCCGACAGACCUGAACCUGAUUUUCAGGCGUUGUUUUUAAAAGGGAGAACCUUGUUUGGUUCUGUGGAAGUCAUCGCCGAAAUCAACAAACUCAAAAUAUAGUCUGAAAAAUAAGUCUGGUGAGUUAAAAGUACUUUGUUUAAUUAAGUUGUGAAGCUGGUUUGGAGACAGAGGGUCUGUUUGGGCUUGUGAGAGUCUGGACCACGUGGGCGUACACGGUGUUAGCUGUGGGUUACAGGCCUGCAGCUGGUAAUCCCUCUGUGUCCGCAGAGGUCCCCCGGUGGAAAAGGCCACCAGGAGUGACCAAGAGUGGCCAGGUAAACUUAUUACUCGGAGUCCGUGAAGACGUUCACGACUGUACCCCCCCCCCCUAGACUCUAAGCAACAGCUCCUCUGUCACAGGAGAAUUAUUUGAUUUUAUAAGUAAUUUUAUUUUAUGAGUUUUAUGAGUAACAAAUAUAGUAAAAAUUCAAUAGAAUUUUGUUCUGAAUGGAUCUCAGUAGGUGUGUUCAUGCGGAAGGAACUCUGAGUCUAAAGGAAAAAGCAACAAACAAAAAAGGGGAUAAAAGACGGCUUAAGAAAUGUAAUAAGAAUAAGAGGAAGCUGAACUGAGAUCUAAAAAUACCAUAAAGGUUUCUGAUGGGGAAAAACAUAGAGAAGCACUGAGCCUGUAGCAGACAGUGACCGCAGGCAGAAAGAAAAAAAAAAAAAGAAAAAACCCACUAAAUAGCCAGAUGGCUUUGUUUUAAGUACAUUAUCCAACUUCAGUCAUUUAUUUAAAUUCAUGGCGCUGAUAAGUCUGCUCUACGCAAGAGGCGUGUACGGAGAACUGACUUUGAGAACAACAGUUUUUGAGAACAUUUUCUUGUUCUUCCAUUUCUCAUCCUUCAUGAGAAAAUAUACAAGCUGUCAAAUAAUCUGAUCAGUCUGAGGAAAUGUUUUGCUCUGCUUCACAACGCUCAAGGACACACUUUCUAAAGUUAAGUGACACCCUGCUUGCAAUGAAGAAUGCUUUUUGCUCUCACACACACACACACACACUGAAGAUUUAUUUUUAGCAUUAUCAGAUCUCUGAGAGAAAACACUUGCAACUUUCCUCAGACACAUACACACUCUGUAGGAUAAAUAUUAACCCUAUUUUCCUAUUUUCCUUUUUCUCCUUUUCCUCCUCCCUCCGUCUCUGACUGAGACACCCUCUCCUGAAGCUCACAGGCUGCACACCUGACCCAACUCAGUUCUUCCACCAGGAUAAAAGUCAGCAGAGACCCACUGAUAUAAAAAAAAAAACACACACUCUAUCACCACCAUGUCCUACGAACUGAGACUGAUGCCCACCCCUACCUGCUCCACCUGAUGCUGAUGCCGAGAAAACUGUGUGACCUUUCCGGCCCAGUUUCCGUGGUGACGUGGCCACUGGGCUGAGGUGGGUGGUGGGGGCCAGAGGUUGGAAAACCAUCCAGGUCUGCUGACCAGAGGCAGAACAUCCAUGUGGUGAGAAGGGUCAUUGGGCAUGUGACCACGUGACACUGAUGGUGAGACCGUUCUGAUUUCAUACCAUAAAUAGUUCAUGAUUUAAUACAAAACUCUGUUAAUACACUGAAGUUUAUCAGAUAUUAUCUUUUAUGAAGAGAAGAUGCUAAAAGUAAACAAAAGACAGCUUCAGUUCUAGAGUAGGUCUGCACAUAAGACUAGUUCACAGCUGGAACAAGAGACACAUACAUGUGCACACACAUUUACAUGAACAAAAACACACACGCUCACUGCAAUGAAGUAUCUGCUUGCUACUGAUGACAUGUCAACAUCACAUGGCAUGAUGAGCUACUAAGCUGCAAGUCUCCUGAUUUCCUGACAACUUUAAGUGUGUGCGUGAUUUGCACAAAAACUGCUUGUGUGUCUCUGGGUCCUGAUUAUUUUAUUUUUGCUCACAACUGGUUUAAGUUGAUAUUUUGAAUAUCUUGGUAUCUAGAAUUUAUAAUAAAACUGAAACAGCUUCCAUUUUGCUCUUAAAAAGGCUGCAUAAUAACUUUGACCCGUGGUCUCAUGUGUGAACCAUAACAUGCUGCAUUUAGGGGUUAUUUGCAGCCACAUCCAAAUAUACUGGAAUGAUUUUCUUUGGUAUUGAUCCGUCAUGGCUCAUUGCUAAAUUAAAACGGAUAACAUGGCUCUUUGAGAUCAAGGUCUCAAACAUAUAUAAAGGGAGAAAAAUACAUGCUAUUUUACUUUUAAGAAUCAACACUGAAGGCCUGAUCUAUAUUUCAAUCAAGCAAACUAAGGAUUUGAAAUCAAUCAAAGAAGAAGAAGGGAGAAAAAAAAGAGGAUGGAUUAUUAAACAGUUUGGAAAAUAAAUCCCUGGCACUUAGAGAAAAUGUGAUUAAAAAAAAAAUAAAAAUAAAAAUAAAGCAAAUUAAAGGAGCUCCUUUUUUAACUGUCAGCAAAUAACCAGAUGGAAAUUAGUUAAAGUAAAAGAAAGGAAACUUGAAAAACUAGUUCAACAAACCUACGUUUAAUAUAGAUUAAAUGUUUUUUUUUUUUUUUUGGUGGUUGUUGUUGUUAUUUGCAAUAACACUGGAAAGUACACUGUAAGAAUAAAUACAGAGGUACCGGGAGAAAAUACAAAUUAUUUCAUAAUAAUCUGAUAUCCAUGGAUGUUUUAAACUGAUUCUCUUGUAAAAUAAAAAUAAAAGAUUUGUAAAAGAAUAAAAGAGAAAAAGUUGCUUGAGCAAAAUUUGGCUGAUGAUGGACACAUAAUUAACAGAAAUUCAAAUUGGCCUAAUGUCCAUAUCAUCCUGGAGUUUAAAGAAUUGAUUAAGAAAACUCCAGCAGACUUCAUGUCUUUCCAAAUCGAUGCUAUAUUGGCCUUCAAGGAUCCUCCUACAUGCAGGGAAAAUCUAUCUGCUCUGAUUUGGCUUUUCUACAGAACGAGUGACGUAACUGACAAAGUUCUGACUGACUUGAACAAACAGACUGUUGUUUACUUGACCUUUUCCUUCCAGCAGGAUUUCCUCUAGGACUCUACUCUGCUUCCACACAGGGAUGGUUGCUGUGUUUCAUAAUGCUGCUAACUCUGAUACCAUUAACCAGAAACACCUUUAAUUUCCUGAUAAGCAGGACUGAUGAUGUGGAUCUGCCUACAGGAAAAGACGUCUAUACUAAAUCUCUUUUGAAUAUGUGUAUAUGCAUUUUGAAAAUCAAACAUGAUAUUGACCCUUGUGACAUUUUGGGAUAAACUUUUACAGGAAGGAUAUUUUCACCAUGGACACAUGUGCUUGUGCUAAUUCAUCUGAUCAUACUGCUGAUGAUGGCUGCUUUCACAGGGGUGAUACCGGAGCAGUGGACUUCAGGAUCCAGUCGUACAAUUUGGUUAUAAUAACUGUAAUAACUAGUUUUCCUAGAUUACAGGAACAAGCAGAUUUUAUAAUAAAUAUCUGAUAUGUUUUUGUUGGUAUGUGCAUGUGUGACACUAUCCUGUGGUUUGAGUGAAUGUUGAUGUGUUUUAGAAUGUUUGUUUGUCCACAUCUUUCUUUCAUAAAGCUGGUUGCUCUGGCGACGCAGACACCGUUCUAAAAAUCGGACUGUAAGCUGGUUUUGGAUGUGUCUCGGGUUGCUGACCUUGGCAGGCACCGUUACUUCUGUCUGUCUCACUCCGGCGUCUCUCACUGGACGUCUCCCUACUUCUCCUCCUCGCUCCCUCUCUACUCUGCCCCUCCCUUCACAUUCUCUGCUUUGCAUGCUGACGGCUCUCUACCUCCUCCUGACCUGCAUGAGGAUGUGUAACCGGACAAGGUUGAACCUCAGUCCAUUUCAGGUUCUCACUAGCAGGCCUCCUGGUCUUGGAAUUGAGCCGGCCCUACCUGGAAUCGUCAUUGAUGAGGAUUCAGUGUUGGUUUAUUCCAAAACCUUUUCCUUGUGCUUUCUGAGGCUUUACAGGUGGUGACAGCAGCUCUCCCAAAACCAGCUGAGGACGAGUUUCACACACACUGAUGCAGGGUGGCUGGAUUGUAGGUGAGGACUCCAGAGGGAGCACUGAACGGCUCAGAGGGUCACGGGUCCUUACCAGUUGCCCCUGUGGGAGGUUUUCCUGGCCAGCCACUGCAACCGUGUCCCAGCACCAGCUGGAAAUCUUCAAUCUUCCCCGCCCCCAUCCAUCUCUGGGGGAGAUCUCGACUCAUCUGAUCCACCAGGAUGAAUCAACAUGGAUUGUCCUGUCCCCUUUUCCCUGAGUGGUGACUAGCAACAACCAUGGCCUUCAGAUGACUACGGGAGCUUAAAUGCAGAUGUUGUGGACCAAUACUCAUCUGCUUCAUUUCUUUUCUUGUUCACAUGGAGGCUGACAGCCACAGGAGUGGGUGAAACGUCACCUGAUUGAUCAUCAUGAUGAUGUGUGCUGGCUGAGCAAACCGCUCUGAAAUUCACAAAUUCCAGCUGUUCUGUCUGUUCCCUGAUCCCAUUUGCUACACCUGAGCAAGUCCUGCUAUGCUUGUAUGAUGUGCAUUUUACUUCUUUGGGUCUUCAUGGUAUGAAUAUGCUGUUUCACACACACCUUCUUGGGGUUCUUGCGGUCCCACAGGGGUUGUGUAGGUUUGUGGUCACCGUUCUUGCCUGUCUCUUCCUUUCAGGUAACUGGUGUGGUAUUUCUUACUUAGCCUUCCUUAUUCCUUAUGCACGUGUGGCCUCUAUUUUAACUAUUGCUCUAUUCCUGCAGGCGCCACUCUGGCUUCCAUAAGAGAGAGAGGUCAGCUCCAUGGUCUAAGUUUCUAGGUGGUAUAAUCACUCUUAUGGUACUGCUCGUAAUGCUUUUCACAUAGAUCAGUUGACUAUUGAACUUGAAAAUCUCUUUGUACCAGUUUCAUCUGGUUUUGAGUCCCUGACCCCUGAGCUUAAAGCUCUAUGUGUCGUCCCUGGAUAAUGGGAUGGCUCUGGAUUCCUUCUGGCUGACCUGGGCGACACCAGUCAGGUAAUAGGUGCUGAGUGUUGUAUUUGGAUUCCUGAUGCUUCUAACUACAUUUCAGCUGUUUUACAUUAUUUACGGGACCUCAUGCAGGUGAUGACUUGUACUUAUGAUGAUAUCGGUUUACUGGUUUUAGCAGUGAUGAUGAUGAUUUCUGAACCUCAGUAUAAUGUUAUGGUGUGUCAGUGUAUAUUUUCUAAACGUUUGCUUUUACUACAACCUAGGGGUGUCUAUGCUCAUGUAGGAUCAGCAGCUCUUAUCCUUCCUUCAUUUCCCACUUCUGUUGAUUAUGAGUUUUGUUUUGUUUUUUUUUUUAAUCUGGGUGCAUUUUGACCAUUGAUGUGAUUAUAACAGUGGCAUUCUGUUGUGUGAAGAUGUUAUGGUAAAUUUCUUUGCGUUUUGUGUGAUUAAUAGUAAAACGAGGUUUUCCUUUAAUCAAAAGAGGGGAAUUGUGAAAGAAAUUUAGCUGCAUAUGGUAAUCACUCAUAUAUACUCAUAAUAAUCACAUGUAUAUUCAGUUUCUUUAUUAAUUUAGAGCAGCCAUCAGGAAAGGGGAUACAGGUGUUAGACACUGUCAGUAGUGUACUAGUAGCCCUGAAACUAAGUUCCAUGACAAAAUGAAAAAAAAAAAACUGAAUCUGAAGACAUUUUCAAGCAUCACAAAAGGAGAUAGAGGAGACCAAAAAUACAACAAGGAUCUGGUCUUGACAGCAGACAGAAAUCUCUUUGGGCAUAUGAUCAUUGUUUCACAAAGUAGACAUCUUAACAUAAAAAAUGUCCUGACUCAUCCACUUGGUCCCCAGCCUUGGUCACUUUCAAAUCCAGAUGGUUCACGAAGAAAGACCAACAAGGCCGCCCUUGCUAGACAUUGAAGAGAAAUCAGGAUCAGCAGUUGAAGAUACUGGAAAUCGCUCUGCAUUAAUCAUUGAUGGAAUGAGCCUUGUUCAGAGACUGAAAGGUGAUGGCAAGGCUUUUGGAGAGAUUGUUGGAUCAGUGCGGAACCUGGCUUUGCAUGAAGGAGGAAAGAGUAUGCAAAUAGAUGUGGUUUUUGAUGUGUACAGGAAUACAUGAAUCACGAAUGCUGAGAGAUGCCAUCGUGGUUCAUUCAGUGGAAGACCAUUGCCCCAGGACACAGUGUUGUGCAGUAGAGAAAGCUUUUAAGUAAUCCAGACAGCAAAACUACCUUGAUUACAUUCAUUGUGGACCAGUGGAAGCUGCCAGCAAACCAGGUGAAGCUUCAGGACAAGCAGCUAUUUGCAGCCUGUGGAGAGACAUGCUAUUGUCUGAGUUAAAAAGGAAUGAUGGACUGUGGAGGAGCUGAAGUCUUCCCAUGAGGAGGCAGAUACCCGCAUGCUCCUACAUGCCAAUCAUGCAGCCAGAAUGGCUGUAAAAUGGCUGUAAAAUAUCUAGAGAUCUAUUGCUUUUUGCCUUUCCAUACUUUUUAUCUUUGUGUAUUACAGUGUGCCUUUUAAGCCGAGAACUUCUGAAACAAAAUUUCGUUGUGCCUUGCACAAUGACAAUAAAGAUUCUUGAUUCUUGAAACUACCAUGAUCGUGAGUGAGGAUACAGAUGUCAUGAUCCUUUGUCUGGGACACUGUAAGAAGAUCAACUGCACCAUGUUUUUGAAAUGUGGGACUAACAAUCGAACAAGAUACAUUGAUAUGACCAGCCUUGCUGAGCUCCAUGGAGAUGACCUAUGUGAUGCACUUGUAGGUGUUCAUACCUUUACAGUUUGUGAUAGUGUAAAUGCUUUUGCAGGAAGAGGAAAACUCAGUGCUCUUAAACUUGCCAAAGGAAACAGGACAUUUCAAGAGGCCUUCAAAUCCCUGGGAACAUCCUGGGAUAUGUCAAAGGAAUUAUGCAGAGAUAUGGAAUCCUUUGUCUGCAGGAUGUAUGCACCAUCAUCUAAUGUAUGUGAUGUCAGUGAUCUUCGCUACCUGCUGUUCUGUACCAAAAGGGGUGAGGUGAGUGGAGUCCAGCCUACUUCCCCCUUGUAGUGACUGCUUACAGCUGCAUACAUAGUGAGCCAACCACCAAACAGCAGUCUGGAGGCACUGUCUGGAAGGACAGCCAGACAGAGGGCUGUCCCUCUGAGCAUGGAUGGAAAAACUGAUGACAAAGGCAUGCUGACAUUAGACUGGAUACGAGGAACCCAGCACCCAUGACUGUCCUGGAAUUUAUGGCCUGCAAGUGUAAACGGACCUGCAAGCUUCCAGCGUGCUCCUGCCAAACUGAAGUGCGCAGAAAUGUGCAAACUAUAAACCUGCACCAAUCAGUGGGAAGAGGAGGAUGAUGUAGACGUUGCUGUAACCAUGGAUAACUAUGAUGAUAAUGAUGAUGAUGAUGAUGAUGAAUAGAAUAGAAAUACUUCAUUAAUCCCUUUGGAGAGUCCUCAGGGAAAUUUGGGUAAAUUUGGGUGUAAAGAUUAAUAAAUAAGAUUUGGAAACCAUAUCAGAUUGUUAAAGGUUAGUUGUAGCUAAGAUAGCACUUGGAAAGGUUUUUGAAGCUGAAAUAUCAUCUAAAAAUAAAGGCUGUUUGAAAAUACAGUAAUGAUGUAGUGAUGAAAUACGAGUAGUAAAAAAUUCUCGCCUGGGCCCAUGUUCUACUUUAGGUCUUAAAAUCUCCCCUAAUAGUGGGAUAAUACGGGAAGAUUAUACAUUUACUGAAUUGUUACAGUCCUGUGAGUAUUUCAGUUUUUGUUAUUUGUGCCAGUGUCGUUUCUACUUCUCACAAUGCUCAAAAAAAUACUACAGUUUAGGCAAAAAUUGAGGAAAAUAAUAUUUGUUGAUAGUUUGAAGACUCCAUGCAACUUCUGUAUAAAUUAGACAGAUGCAAAACUGAGUUUAAAUGAAAGCUCUGAGACUACCCUUUUAAAUGCUACCAAAGGUGCCCUCUUAAAAGAUGAGUAAGAGUCUGGAAAAUGAGUAAUAAAUAGAAUAUGCACCAGCGCCUAGAAUCCAAUUUCUUGUAGGGGGUGACUAACUUCAUGUGCUGAUAACUGUGACAAAGCUACCACUUAGGACAUGUUAUCAUACCAAAAUAUAAUCUAUAGACAUGUACCUUUUCAAAAAUUGUUGCCAGUUUUGCCACCUUGAGUGGUACCGAAUAUAAGUCUAGGCCAUGGACUACCUUGUGAAGACUUUUGACCUCUGUCAUUGCCAACAGAAGGUAUAUAACAAAGUAUUGUGAUGAACUUUUAUUAUUGACCAAAUACUGGUUUUCCACCAUAAUUUGCAAAUAAAUUCUCUAGAAAUCACACAAUGUGAUUUUAUAGAUUUUCUUUUCUCAUUUUGUCUCAUAUACCUAUGAUGAAAAUUACAGGCAUUUUUUUAAGUGGGAGAACUUGCACAAUUGGUAGCUAACUAAAUACAUUUUCCCUACUGUAUAUCCCUUGGUUUCAGUUGUCCUUUGUGAGAUCAUCGGUCAUGUUUCCCCAACAUGUCUCUUGUUUAGUCUGUACAUUUUUUCACAGUUUUGACCUUUGUCCCAUCUUCCUCCUGCCUUACUGUCCUGCAUUUGGGUCCACUUCCUCCUCAAAUCAUGACAGAACGAUCUGACCACCAUGGAUCCAGCAGACAUUGAAGACAAGGAGGAGGCUUUCAUGGAAGUGCACCUGGCCACAAAGGCCAACAUUGAUUGUAUGGCUGGGCUUUACCCUCUGCUGGUACAGAUGGGAGCAGCCAAGGGGUUGUGGACCUGAUGACUGCCAAUCCCUACUACUUCAGCUUUCUGGAUGCAGCCGAUAAGCCGGCUAAGGCCAAAGAAGAUUUAAGAGCUUUGCAUGAAGACUGUCACACUCGCCCAGUCUCCUGUCAGCAAGGCAACACUCCUGAGCCUUGUUGAAAACAACUGCGGCUGCUAACUGCUCUAACUGUGUGUUACAUUGUGCUUCUCACCCUUUCUUUCUUGGAAACCUGAUUUUCCUUUUCUUGGGGUGAAACAUGACUGUUUCCUGCCUUCUGCUCCUCAGGCUGUUGAUGACAUAUGAUUUAAAUGAAACUCAGUUGAAUCUAGUGAUGUGUGGAUUAAUACUAGAAUGUUGAUACCUUUAGAUACCAGUUAUUUAUGUUCUAAAAAAUAUAUAUAUAUGUAAAAAAUAUAUGCCUGAAAAGUAUUAACAAACAUGCAAUUUGGUUACACUUUAAAUUUAAAUAUGUAUUUCACUGGCACUUUCAGUUUGAGCCACACAGCAUGCUGUAAAGUACAGUAUGAGCUGUUUUGAGAGUAAUUUUCUAAACACAGUAAUUAUUUUUUAAAGACAUGAGAGGGCCUUAGAGAACAUCCAUUAUUGUUCAUGUAAAAUUCAAUCUCCCAAACCCUUAAUUCAGCCAAUUCAUUGUGAUAUUAAUUAUAUAUUUAAAAAAUACCACAUAAGACAAACUUUUCAUCCCAGGCUUUGUGAGGGUCCAUUGUGCAGUGGGCCCUGGAUAAACAGCAGCUCUAUCUGGGAGUAGCAUGUGAACAAAGGUCUGGACGGAAAAGCAUGAUGGGAAUUUUGUUAAAAGGUAAUUACAAAAAAUGAAGCUUCUGACUGGUGAACUUUACCCCGCACCACCUUCUCUUACAAAGGAACCAUGUUCAGUAGCAAACAUAUAGAGCGUGGGAGUACAGCCAUCUUGUUUUGGCUUGUUUUGGUUACCAAAAGCCCCGAAUCAGGGUCAUGUCAGGUUAGGUACAACGAAUACCCACAUAUGUAUAGAUAUAUAUAUAUAUAUUUUAAUUGCAGUUAAAUAGUCAACCCCCCUAUCAUACACAUACACCAGUGUGAUUUGAGGGAUCUAAGCAUAGCAUUUUAUGAUACACACUCAAGAUUUACCAUAUAAGGUUCUCUGUCCUAUAGACUGGAUUCACACACGAACAUGUCUUCUACGCACACGAAUAUCCUAUAUACAAACUCUAUGAUUGGAGGAUACAGGACUGAGGAAUUCUCUUUGUUUAAACCAUAUAUAAGACAGAACUUUACAUCAGGUCUUUGGGUCUUCGUUCUGGUUUUGGG